UACGGAGGAUUCGAGCGUUAUCCGGAUUUAUUGGGCGUAAAGGGUGCGUAGGCGGAUUGGUAAGUCAGAUGUGAAAGUUUACGGCUCAACCGUGAAAUUGCAUUUGAAACUGUUAAACUUGAGUACAGAUGAGGUAAGUGGAAUUUCUUGUGUAGCGGUGAAAUGCGUAGAUAUCACAAAGAACUCCAAUGGCGAAGGCGGCUCACUGGGCUGUAACUGACGCUGAUGCACGAAGGCGUGGGGAUCAAACAGG
This 253-nucleotide ribosomal RNA is filed under the name uncultured bacterium. RNAcentral's name for it is "partial 16S ribosomal RNA". It matches the Rfam family "Bacterial small subunit ribosomal RNA", at positions 524 to 776 of the family's 1533-position model. The record is from RNAcentral.